Molecule: long non-coding RNA, 2677 nt
Organism: Esox lucius (northern pike)
Lineage: Eukaryota; Metazoa; Chordata; Actinopteri; Esociformes; Esocidae
Source: Ensembl
UGGGAGCAGGGCCGGGCGGGGUAUCCCUCCUGGGAGCAGGGCCGGGCGGGGUAUCCCUCCUGGGAGCAGGGCCGGGCGGGGUAUCCCUCCUGAGAGCAGGGCCUGGCGGGGUAUCCCUCCUGGGAACAGGGCCUGGCGGGGUAUCCCUCCAUAGAACAGGGCCUGGCGGGCCAUCCCUCCUGGGAAUAGGAGCAGGUGGAGUUCCCCUCCUGGGAAGAGGGCCUGGCGGGUUAUCCCUUCUAACGGGAGAGCGGUCUCGUACUGUAGCAUAGGGGUCCCUGGCAGUGCCAGUUGGGUAGGAGCCCAGGUCCCUUCUUAAAAAAUCCUCAGAGUCCUUCCUGCAGAAAAGACCGAGAUACAGAGAGAGAGAGACAACGAGAGAAAUGAAAGGGCUAAUUCAUUCAGGUCCACUCUAUGACAGAACUAAGGCUAUAGCUUUACACAACUAAGUGUAAAAUGAAAGAAAAAAAAUUAAAAAGUAGACAUCAAAUGAAGUGUCUGGACUGAGAAACAUAAGUGGGUUCAAUCUUCAAAAACAGCAGAACUGAUUUUCUAGAAAACAACUUCAUUUCUCAAAAACCCAACUGCCGGUUAGCACCCAGGUGCACCAGGAACAAAUGGGCCUACCCUCGGCCCAAGAGAAUCAGGGCCUGAAUGAGCUUAGGGUCUAUUCUGUCCAGGUGGGCCGAAGACAGAGUCCUCAUGAGAGGAGCUAAGUCUUGACCUCUGUGGGUGGGGGGGAGACCUGUUCCACUGCUGUCCCUAAAAUAAACACAAAAAUACAAACAAUAAAGUAGAACGAUGUUUAAAAAGACUGAUUUAAAUCAAAGUGAAGGCUUUACCAUUAAAAAAAAAAAACAUAUGAAGAAAACACUACCUAUAAUAAUAGUUCUGACUAGUUCACACUAAAUGAUAAGCCAAUUAAUUAAUUAAUUACCGUAACUUCACCUAGACCCACUCAACAAAGGCUUUACGCUGGAAUUUUCUCAUGUAGCAUGUGUGCUCUCCUACCCUAAGUUGUAAAAGGAAUGCACACACAAAUACAUUUUGGUGUGUAACGGAAUAUUUGAGCUAAUAAAGCUCGAAUACAGACGCAAUCAGUCGCUGAUGGUUUCGAUUCGUGAAAAAUAAUUUGCCCUAACCAUUUAAGUUCAGUUGAAAUUAGCCAACUUAGCUUAAAUGACGCCAAAUUAUGACUCUUACUUAAAAAACACGGCUGAUUGGUUCCACAGAAGACCGACAUUUCAUGUGCGCUGUGUGACCACUAUUAUGUAAAAGGAAAAGUAUUCCUCUUCAGAAGCCAAAUGUGGUGUUUUGUGCUGCCACUGCAGCUCUCAUAUCACAACAUUACCUUGAAAGGCCACAUGAACGGAGGCGGAAACAAGGCCACUGGUGGGUAGGUUUCCAAUAGGACAGAACGAGGACCUUCCUGUGAUCGCUAUUGUACAGUACAUAUGUAAACGUGUAUGUAUCUACUCUUAUGACAGUCACCACAAGGUAUUAGAAUCUUCAUUUAGGUUACCUUGGAUCAAUGAUUACACGGUCGCGUACAUUUGUUUUUGGUAGGGUUGUGGGCCCAAUAUCAUUGUGUGUACAUGGUCGUUUUAUUUUUCUGUGCAAAGAUUACUGGAAAUGUCAGUUAGAUUUUAAUAAAGUUACACAGAACUUAAUUACAGUUCUAUGAAUGGCACUAUGAAUGAGUGCAAGCUCCAAUUUCUUUCAGGACAUUACAUUUCAAAAUGAUAGUAAUUUAACAGAUGCACUUAACCAGAGUGACAUACAGUGAGUCAAUUCAUCUUAAGACAGCUUGCCAGGCACACCCCAAAACUCAGCAGUAGUCAAUACACUCAAUACGCUAUCAGCAUAGUUAUGCUAAAAGGAAGUAAAAACAAUUUGCAAUCAUUAGUUCACAAAACAAAAAGGCACUUUUACUGGAAGAUAGCGGAGCUAGCAGAGGAGCAUGGGAACCCCGAAAAAAUCUGGAAAGGCAGACGCCAAGUGUGAAUCGGCAUUCCCUACGGUAGCAUUCCCUACGGUAGCAUUCCCUACGGUAGCAUUCCCUACGGUAGCAUUCCCUACGGUAGCAUUCCCUACGGUAGCAUUCCCUACGGUAGCAUUCCCUACCAACGGUUGCGGAAGCCCAGAACUGUGAUCCCAAGACACUUCUUUAGAAACGGCACUGUGUCCAGUGUGAGGUAAAGCUACUCAUGUUCCAUUAACAGUGAACAGGACACACUUGCCUAAGGCUUGCGUCACUCGGCCCAGUUGAGCGUCAUCUGCGCACCACAAUCAGCUUGGGCAGUGAAGAGCCUCGGUGAGAGGAGAGCGCUGUCAGUUCAGGUUACCAGUCUUGAAGCCUGACUGGUCGAGGUCAGGGAGAUUGUUCUGAGAGAAUUAACAGGAGAGAUGGUGAGAGACAGCACGCUCAAUGCUUUGGUUUUGAUGCCUGGGGGGGGUCAAUCGCUUGUUUUUGAGGAUGUCACUCUGGGCAUCUGGAGGUUAGAGGGGUCAAUGCCACACAGGGAAUGGCGUUGUAAGUCUUCACGGCCUCCUGGUCCAUGGCCACACACGUAUUGAAAGACUUUGCACAGCCCUUCAACUGGAAGUUGUCUAGUGGACUACAAUAAAGAGGGCAGGGUAUUGCAGUUGCAUUUGCUGUGACGUUUCAAUGCCAAAA